AUCCUCCUCCAUCCCGUCACCGCACUCUUCCUUUCUCUCCACCAUCCCGUCGCCGUCCCUACCACUCUUCCAUCGCCCCAAUCAACGACUCAUUCAUCCCCUUCCACAUCCAUACCCCCUGCAGGAGCGAACAAUAACUUGUUGCCCCGCCGUCCUCUCUUGUUCUCCCGAUUGGUGCAGCAGCAGCUACAUAUGCGGUUCAUGGCUACAGCAGUUGCGAAUGCAGAUCGACCGUCUUCGAGGCGUGGACCUGCAUCAGCACCAAAUGUACCUCACUGAUGAUCUGAUCUAGUGCGUCGAGGAGGUGCAUGUUCACUUCCGCCACCGUCGACCGUGCCUCAAGUGGCCCUUCGAGGCUUUCACGGGGCAGCCAUGUCAUCCCGCGGCAGCGCCUCUGUCCUCCACCACAUGUCGAUGACGUUAAGUCUUUGCCCCGCACGUCGAUGAUAGGGCACCUCUUGGGCGAUUCGCAGCGCAGGUCGCCAUCACGGUCAGGUUCCAGUGGAGAACAGUGGUACAACACGACUCACUGAUGUCUCCUUCCCGAACAUGCGUUGGUCCAGAUCCGGUCGCUAAUGGCCAUGUUUUUACCCCUCUCUCUUAAUACAGUGUGAUAUCCAUUAAUCUGAUUCCCCAUGUUCUCAUGUAUGCAUGCAUGGCAGUUUGGCCUGAACUAGACGCGGUGGUGGGAGAACUAGUCCGAUGCACGAAAACUAUCAUGUUGCACCGCUGCUAGCGAAGCUGCCACACUUACUUGCCAAGACGUUCUCGGUCUCCACCAUCUAGUCCGAAAUCUGCUGAUCCAACAUUCUUGGUUGAAUUGGGCAUGUGAGUACUUUUGACUCCCCUGCUCUCUUCUUACUUCUCUGUGGUGAGCGUUCAUAGUGGUGUGGCAUCGUGAUGUGUUUGAUGUGGUGGUGUAUGACCAAGCACUAGCGGAUUCCUAGCAAUAUGUACCUAUCUAAACCAAAGGAAAGUGACCAAACUAGUAAUUGUAUGUCUACACGCCACGAGCAUACUAUUUAUGUACUUAAUCUGUUUUGGAUUGUAUAAAAAAAUGUUUGAUACUUUGGCUCGUUGAACAACAUAAAUUCCCAUUGCAGAAUAUACAUCUAUUUUGGAUUUUUGAUAUAAAUAUUAUUAAAUAUGGUGUUAUGCCCAUGAAAUAAGGUUUUGAUCAUUCACUUUCAUCAUCUCCAAAUCCGCUCUAAAUGACAUAAAAUUCUGAUUAUUUUAACCAUGAAUACAAUACCAAGGAUACUUAUUUUAUGUAACUCUCCCUAUGGUAAAUAUGAUAUGAUACUUUAACAUGGGAAAACAACUUAGCAAUUAACCUAAUUGUAUCCAGUAUUGAUGUUUUCAUAUAUUAAUUAUCAACUCUUGUAUGCUUAAUUUUACUUUACUGCGACCAAUAUUUUUUGUUGAUAAUAAAUAAAUUAGUGAUCGUGUGGAAAAAGAAAUGGUUGAACAACUGAGCGUACACAGUAUGCUCAUUUGACUCAUUUCAGGUUAUGUGUGUGCUUGCAAAUUUUCAGGUUGAGUGUACAUAAUAUCCAUAGUAUGUGAGGUGGCGCCGGCGCAAGGGCGCCGACUUCGCCUUCCUGCUCGAGCAGGCCCGGGUGCAGCCCCCCGAGGAGCGGGGCCUCGACGCGGCCAGCCGGCUCGCUUCCAUGGACUCGCCAUUUGGUUAGUUAUCGAAGCCAGCCUGAACAUGUUUUGUUGUUGUCACUGUUUGUUCAGUGAGUAAGAUUAUUAAGUUCGUCGCUUUAACCAUGCUUAGGUCAAUUCGGUGGAUAAAAAGGUCCACGAUGAUCAUUUUCUACAAGAUAAUAUCAUGUCGGUAGUCUUCCCAUCAAAAGUAGCAAUCAUGAUCUAUUUCCAGCACUUAGAUUGAGAUUGAUUAAAUUAUCUUUCCUUGUAGACUAAAACAAUCAUAGUGUCAGCCACAAAUCUCAUAUAUGAAACAUAGCAAUGAAGAAAAUUAACAUUUGAAACGUCUUAUUAGAAUAUAGGAUUACUUGAUAACAUUAAUGGAGUUGAUUUCAAUAAAGAAAUAACUUAAGUAAUAUAUAACAGUGGCACUCUCAACCGUCCACAUGAGAACAAAGACAAAAUUUUCACAUCAGAUCUAUCUGUAUCUUGAAUGGUCUAAACAUACGUAACUAAUAACAGUGUAACGUAGUGGCACUCUCAAUCGUCCAUAUGAGAACAAAAACAAAAGUUUCACAUCACAUCUUUCAGUAUCUUGAAUGAUAUAAAGAGAAAAACUCUAUAUUUCUUGCAAAUUGUUAAUUGCUUAUAGGUUAUGGUAUGAUUAAAACUGUACUAAAACAAUUUGUAGAGAUGUGGAAUUUGUGAAAACAAAAUCAUAACUUGUUAAGCACAGAUCAAAAACUAAUUUCCUUGUUUGAGCAUUUUCAUAGCACCCACGAUAGUCCGCUUUUGCUUGGGGCCAAUUAAAGUUGCUAAAUUUAUUGUCCCAUUCUCAUGGGCAUACUAAUGUGGUCUAUGCUGGUAUCAACUUCAUGGUGUCUUACUUAGGUUUUUUUGCCAUGUGCAUUGCAUAUUUGUCAAAUGAGCAUAUGGUUGUAUCAUCUUCUACAUGUUCUUCUGUUUUCUUGCACCUCUUAUGACUGGUAGUUCCAUUGUCCCUUCAUGACUAUUAACAGUACAUAGUAGUAAUGAGUGCUUUCCUUCAUGACUAUUACCAGUAAA
Molecule: long non-coding RNA, 2715 nt
Organism: Hordeum vulgare subsp. vulgare (domesticated barley)
Lineage: Eukaryota; Viridiplantae; Streptophyta; Magnoliopsida; Poales; Poaceae
Exons: 2
Source: RefSeq, a predicted model, not a curated record